CUCAAACCUGCACAAAUGUUCCUUCCACGGAUCGACGGGGCCUCAGCUGAUUGAUUGUGCAGUCAGCUUUUCUGCAUAAUUACUAAGAAGAGGUUAAAUUUAGGAGUUCGCUACCGCUUUCUGCCAUGACACGCCGUCAUCUAAACCGCUAACUGAAUCUCUACAGCCUCCACGGAUCUAAUGACUGGGUGCCGUGGGCCUACGAUUAAGACCGGCCAAGUCAUUUCACUCAAGGCACCUCGUUUCUUGUGUUGCUCAUCAGCAUCCGGUCAGAGAAGCUUAACAACAGAUAAACCGGCAAACAAAAAUUGGGAAUCUUUGAUUUCACGGAACUCUCCUAACGGAUACCUGAACGCAACCCCAAACCUGAAACAUAAUGGAAAGCUUGCUUGUUGUAUUCAUACAUUUUACUUAUAUGAAGAAGGACAAAAAGUCCUAACGAGCUAGCAACGAACGGGUUUACAAAAUGGGCUGAAUAACGACACGCGUCGUUGCCUUACAGCUGUGUAUUGAACCGUAAACUAAGCAGUAUACAGGAACAACAUCGCUUUAAUGGGCGCCGCUAUACGUAUCGAACCAGCUCAGUGGUUUUUUUUUCGUAUUUCAUUAUGUUUACUACCGCCCCGAAAACAGAGAUUUCGCAAUUGUUCUAGAUGGCAGCACGCAUCAUUCUGCCAUGUUCCUAGUCGUUUUACUCUGAAAACUCGCAAUGUGUGAUUUGGCCUAUUUUUUUCUUUGAGCCUAGCAGCGUGCGAUUUUCAAGCGGGGUUGAGUGUUAAUGCAUUCGCUGUCCGUGCGGUCAGAAGAAGCCCCAUUUCAAUAAAGAUAAAAACAGCUAAUUAUCCAGUAAAUAACACACACGCACUGAUCAGCAGCGAGCAUCGUUCUAAUUAGGAAUACCUCUUUCAUAUUCCAGCCUUUGUUGUCUUCAGAAGACAAACAUCUCCCCUGCAUAGAGCUUGUCUAAAAGAUGUUCAUUUCGACGUAAAGAUUACGUUUGACCUAUUUAGUAACUAUGAAUUAAACUAUCUUCGCUAUUACACUGCAUAUCGCCCGCCUGCUCGUUUGAGGUUAUUCUAUAUGAGGUGAAGUUUGCUGAAGUCACCUUUUAGAUAUAAUGCAAGUUUAGUCGUUGUGAUGCGAAAAUCCCGCUCAGCACAAUCGGUAUAAAUUGCGGAGUACAUAAUACAACAGCCAUAAUCUUCUAAACCUAUGUUUUCGUAGAGGGAAUUAGUUGUUCCCAAAAGCCUAACAAUGUAAGCUUGCAAUAGCGUCAGUGACGAUACUGUGUAUUUAUACUAAAUAAAACUAAAUCUUACUUCAAUGUCUAACUUAAAACUAUGUUUAUACAUGGAGGCGAAUAUGCGGCGUGCAUUACAACGAUUUUUGUUAAAAGAGCACACGUAGUCAGACCACAUGGGUCGUGCAUAGGUGUAAGACUACAACGGUCCAAAUAAAUAGAUUUUUGGCGCAGGAUGCAUGUCAAAAACAAUUUUAUAAACAAAAAGGGCCAAAAAUAAAAUCUUCUGCCCAUAAUUUAUUAGCACUUGUUAGUCUUAGACUGCUUAGAAAACCUAUAGGAUUUGGGAAGAUGACAGAUAAUAAAAAUUUGUCAUAAAAUGGC
Molecule: long non-coding RNA, 1624 nt
Filed under: Varroa destructor (honeybee mite)
Lineage: Eukaryota; Metazoa; Arthropoda; Arachnida; Mesostigmata; Varroidae
Description: uncharacterized LOC111249586
Source: RNAcentral